AAAACAUCGACCGCAUAGCUCGCAAACUCAAAGAAAGGAGAAACACAGUCAACCUUGUACCUCAGCAACCACUCGAAAUGGCUGAAGAACAGAAUCAACAAAAUGGCCCUGCCAACAUUGGUGCUGGAGAUGCACCACGUCAUCACCGUCAGAGGAAAGAAAUUGCACCUCCUGCUAUCCAGAAAAACAACUUCGAGAUUAAGAGUGGUCUCAUCUCGAUGAUUCAGGGGAACAAAUUCCAUGGUCUGCCAAUGGAGGAUCCACUCGACCACCUUGAUGAAUUCGAUAGGCUCUGCAACCUGACAAAGAUCAAUGGUGUCAGUGAAAACGGAUUCAAGCUCCGUUUGUUUCCAUUCUCCUUGGGCGACAAAGCACUCAUCUGGGAGAUGAAUCUGCCCCAUGACUCAAUCACCACCCGGGAUGAUUGCAAGAAGGCUUUUCUAUCAAAGUUCUUCUCCAAUGACAGAACUGCAAGACUCAGAAAUGAGAUUUCUGGUUUCUCACAGAAGAUUGGUGAAAGCUUCUGUGAAGCAUGGGAGCGUUUCAAGGAUUACACCAACCAAUGCCCUCAUCAUGGCUUUACUAAAGCCUCUCUACUCAGCACUCUCUACAGAGGAGUCCUACCACGCAUCAGAAUGCUUCUGGAUACCGCCAGCAAUGGGAAUUUCCAGAACAAGGAUGUUGAAGAAGGCUGGGAAUUGGUUGAUAACCUCGCUCAAUCAGAUGGCAAUUACAACGAGGACUGUGAUAGGACCGUCAGAGGAACAGCUGACUCUGAUGACAAACACAGGAAGGAGAUCAAAGCGCUGAAUGACAAGCUGGACAGGAUUCUUCUUAGCCAGCAGAAGCAUGUGGACUUCCUUGUUGAUGACGAGCAGUAUCAAGUCCAAGAUGGGGAGGGUAACCAGUUGGAAGAAGUCAGCUACAUCAACAACAACCAGGGUGGCUACAAAGGAUACAACAACUUCAAAACCAACAACCCCAACCUCUCAUACCGCAGCACCAACGUUGCUAAUCCUCAGGAUCAGGUGUAUCCUCCACAGCAACAACAAGGUCAGAACAAACCUUUUGUUCCCUACAACCAAGGUUUCGUUCCUAAGCAGCAAUUCCAGGGGAACUACCAGCAACCACCACCACCUGGGUUUGCACCUCAGCAAAACCAAGGUCCUGCUACUCCUGAUGCUGAAAUGAAACAGAUGGUCCAACAGCUGCUACAGGGACAAGCAUCUAGCUCAAUGGAAAUUGCUAAGAAAUUAUCUGAAUUGCACCAUAAGCUGGACUGCAGCUACAAUGACCUGAAUGCCAAAGUGGAGGCAUUGAAUACCAAAGUCAGAUACUUGGAAGGCCAAUCAGCAUCUACCUCUGCACCUAAAGUCACAGGACUUCCUGGGAAGUCAAUAUAGAAUCCAAAAGAGUAUGCAACCGCUCACGCCAUCACCAUCUGCCAUGAUCGAGAGUUGCCAACUCGACCUGUCCCUGAUUUCAUUACUAGGGACAGUGAUGUUCAAGAAGGGGAGGCUUUUACUCAGGUUGAAGUCUCUGUUGUUGAAUUCAACCACUCUGCUGGUUCUCGCCAUCUCAUUCAGUCCACCUCGGAAGAGAAGGCCGCCAUAAUCGAGAGAAUGGUAAAACGAUUCAAACCUACUCCACUACCCUCACGUGCUCUCCCGUGGACAUUCAGGAAAUCGUGGAUGGAGAGAUACAAGUCUGUUGCAGCGAAGCAGCCAGACGAGAUUGAAGCAGUGAUGCCACUAAUGGAAGUUCUCAACCUGAUUCCUGAUCCUCACAAAGAUGUGAGAAAUUUGAUACUGGAAAGGAUCAAGAUGUAUCACGAUUCAGAUGAUGAAAGUGAUGCCACUCCAUCUCGAGCUGCUGAUAAGAGGAUUGUUCAAGAGAAGUUAGAAGAUCCGGGAUCUUUCUCUCUACCAUGUUCCAUUGGGGAAUUUGCUUUCAGCGAUUGUCUGUGCGAUCUCGGAGCCUUUGUCAGCUUGAUGCCAUGCUCUGUGGCAAGAAGGUUAGAGUUCAUUCAGUAUAAACCUUGUGACCUGACUUUGAUCCUUGCGGAUCGGUCUUCUAGAAAACCCUUCGGCAUGCUGAAAGACCUACCAGUCAUGAUUAAUGGAGUAGAAGUGCCUACAGACUUCGUGGUGCUGGAUAUGGAAGUAGAGCAUAAGGAUCCCUUAAUACUGGGAAGACCCUUCUUAGCUUCAGUGGGAGCAGUGAUAGAUGUCAGGGAAGGAAAAAUAGGUCUCAACCUUGGAAAGCACAUUAAGUUGCAGUUUGGCAUCAACAAAACUCCACAAGGGUCAACAGAAGAUGGAAAAACCUCUGGAAAUGAUAGAGUGAUCUCAGGAGAAGGAUAUGAGACUGAAAGAGUUAAAGAACUUAAAAAGAGGUCUGAUAAGCAAGAUGAAACUAUAGAGAAGCUAGCCCACACUGUUGAGGAACUUAGAAGUAAGCUGAAUCAGUUGCAGAAGGAAGCUCAACCUAAAGGCGGGAUCGACACUAUCCUGAGAAAGAAGUUCACUUCAAGAUGGUCUGAAGAGAUAGAUUACCCUCCAGAAGAGAAAGAAGCAUAUUUUGAAGAAAGGGGAAUUGAGUAUUCUGCUGCAGGCCUCUCCAGGGAGGACGCUGAGUAUGAUGAUGGUAUCAGAGAGGAUUAUGCAGACCCUCUCUACAGUUCAUUUUCUUCUUGAUAAGUGUGAGGAGUCAAGCUAGAGACUUAAAACAAGCUCACUUGGAAGGAAGUCCCAUGAUUAUCCUUGUAAAUAAUUUUUACUUUCUCGUUAUUUUUUAUUUGUUUUAGUUGUGUUUGUGGUCUCAGAAAAA
Molecule: small RNA, 2829 nt
Filed under: Arabidopsis thaliana (thale cress)
Lineage: Eukaryota; Viridiplantae; Streptophyta; Magnoliopsida; Brassicales; Brassicaceae
Description: ATSL160340
Source: RNAcentral